This 395-nucleotide ribosomal RNA is filed under the name uncultured bacterium. Its description in RNAcentral is "partial 16S ribosomal RNA". It matches the Rfam family "Bacterial small subunit ribosomal RNA", at positions 360 to 773 of the family's 1533-position model. The record is from RNAcentral.
AAUAUUUCACAAUGGGGGAAACCCUGAUGCACCGACGCCGCGUGAGCGAAGAAGGCCUUCGGGGCGUAAAGCUCUGUUUCGAGGGAAGAUAAUGACGGUACCUCGGGAGGAAGCCCCGGCUAACUACGUGCCAGCAGCCGCGGUAAUACGUAGGGGGCAAGCGUUAUCCGGAAUCACUGGGCGUAAAGGGUGCGUAGGCGGCCAAUAAAGUCAGAGGUGAAAGGCUACGGCUCAACCGGAGUAAGCAUUUGAAACUUAUUGGCUUGAGUGCAGGAGAGGAGAGUGGAAUUCCUAGUGUAGCGGUGAAAUGCGUAGAUAUUAGGAGGAACACCAGUGGCGAAGGCGACUCUCUGGACUGUAACUGACGCUGAGGCACGAAAGCGUGGGGAGCGAAC